GUUCUGAUUCUCUGAAGAAUGCAGACGAACAUACCGGGCUUCCUAAUGCCUUGUCUCUUCCACUCAGGAAAGGACUCCUAGCUCUAUGUGGCACUCACGGCUUUCUCCUUCCCCGAGAGGGAUGGCACAGUCUGAAGGGAUGUUUACAACAAAGAGAAAAAGAAGCAAGCUCCAGAGCUAGAAGUAAAUGUGGUGUUAUAACGGCAUGUAAAUGGGGCGCAACCUCUCUAUUAAACAUGGUUUAAAAAAAUCAGUUUGUAUCAAUGAAGUGCUGAGGUUACAGGAUGCUUUUUUAAAAUAAAGAAAUGCUGUGUUAUUACUUUAAAACACAUAUAGCAUUCAAUCAGAUUAGCA
This 354-nucleotide long non-coding RNA is filed under the name Chinchilla lanigera (long-tailed chinchilla). RNAcentral describes it as "lncRNA (ENSCLAG00000024609.1)". Lineage: Eukaryota; Metazoa; Chordata; Mammalia; Rodentia; Chinchillidae. The record is from RNAcentral.